RNAcentral lists this ribosomal RNA (497 nucleotides) under uncultured bacterium. RNAcentral describes it as "partial 16S ribosomal RNA". It matches the Rfam family "Bacterial small subunit ribosomal RNA", at positions 28 to 507 of the family's 1533-position model. The record is from RNAcentral.
GAUGAACGCUGGCGGCGUGCUUAACACAUGCAAGUCGAGCGAAAAGACGCGGAGCUUGCUGGUCGGACGAGUGCGGCGGAAGGGAGUGUCACACGAGGAAAGCCCACCUAUAGGAAAGGGAUAACUACGGGAAACAGGAGCUAAUACCGGAUAAUAUAUUGAACCGCAGGGUUAAAUGGUGAGAGAGGGCUUUGCGGUCACUUAUCGAGGGGUACGCGCAGCGUUAGCUAGUUGGUAAGGUAACGGCUUGCCAAGGCAAGGAGGCGUGGCAGACCUGAGAGGGGGAUCGGCCACACUGGAACUGAGACACGGUCCAGACUCCUACGGGAGGCAGCAGUAGGGAAUCUCCCGCAAUGGGCGAAAGCCUGACGGAGCAACGCCGCGUGAGUGAGGAAGGUCUUCGGAGCGUGAACCUCUGUUAUUAGGGAAGAACAAAUUUGUAAGUAACUAUGCACAUCUUGACGGUACCUCAUCAGAAAGCCACGGCUAACUACGUG